AAGUCGAGGGGUAUAGUUCUUCGGAACUAGAGACCGGCGCACGGGUGCGUAACGCGUAUGCAAUCUACCUUUUACAGAGGGAUAGCCCAGAGAAAUUUGGAUUAAUACCUCAUAGUAUAGCUGUACCGCAUGGUACUACUAUUAAAGUCACAACGGUAAAAGAUGAGCAUGCGUCCCAUUAGCUUGUUGGUAAGGUAACGGCUUACCAAGGCAACGAUGGGUAGGGGUCCUGAGAGGGAGAUCCCCCACACUGGUACUGAGACACGGACCAGACUCCUACGGGAGGCAGCAGUGAGGAAUAUUGGUCAAUGGGCGCAAGCCUGAACCAGCCAUGCCGCGUGCAGGAUGACGGUCCUAUGGAUUGUAAACUGCUUUUAUACAGGAAGAAACACUCCCUCGUGAGGGAGCUUGACGGUACUGUAGGAAUAAGGAUCGGCUAACUCCGUGCCAGCAGCCGCGGUAAUACGGAGGAUCCAAGCGUUAUCCGGAAUCAUUGGGUUUAAAGGGUCCGUAGGCGGUCUAAUAAGUCAGUGGUGAAAUCCUUCCGCUUAACGGGAGAACGGCCAUUGAUACUGUUAGACUUGAAUUAUUAGGAAGUAACUAGAAUAUGUAGUGUAGCGGUGAAAUGCUUAGAGAUUACAUGGAAUACCAAUUGCGAAGGCAGGUUACUACUAAUGGAUUGACGCUGAUGGACGAAAGCGUGGGUAGCGAACAGGAUUAGAUACCCUGGUAGUCCACGCCGUAAACGAUGGAUACUAGCUGUUCGGAGCAAUCUGAGUGGCUAAGCGAAAGUGAUAAGUAUCCCACCUGGGGAGUACGUUCGCAAGAAUGAAACUC
Molecule: ribosomal RNA, 837 nt
Filed under: Flavobacterium sp.
Lineage: Bacteria; Pseudomonadati; Bacteroidota; Flavobacteriia; Flavobacteriales; Flavobacteriaceae
Description: bacterial SSU rRNA
Rfam family: Bacterial small subunit ribosomal RNA
Source: RNAcentral